Molecule: unclassified non-coding RNA, 238 nt
Filed under: uncultured fungus
Lineage: Eukaryota; Fungi
Also listed under: 1 other name
Description: partial contains 5.8S ribosomal RNA, internal transcribed spacer 2, and large subunit ribosomal RNA
Source: RNAcentral
AACGCACAUUGCGCCCCUUGGUAUUCCGGGGGGCAUGCCUGUUCGAGCGUCAUUAUAACCCUCAAGCUUAGCUUGGUGUUGGGGCCUGCCAACUGGCAGCCCUUAAAAUCAGUGGCGGUGCCAUCUGGCUCUAAGCGUAGUAAUUCUUCUCGCUACAGGGUCCUGGUGGAUGCUUGCCAACAACCCCCAACUUUCUAAGUUUGACCUCGGAUCAGGUAGGGAUACCCGCUGAACUUAA